UGUACAUGUAUUUACGUUCUUUAAAUAUUUAAUUGAAUAAAAGCUAGAAAAAUGGUUUCCCGAAGUUUUGGAAACAAGCUUUUCGAGAAAUUCGACAAACAAGAGGCUUGUGAUGUGUUUUUUUCGUGUCCUGACGAUCAACAUAUAACAGCAGAUGAAAAAUUUAAAGUGAUUGGGGCGCACAAACUUAUUUUGAGCCUUGCUAGCGAGGUUUUUGACGCCAUGUUCAAUGGACCAAUAACAAAGAAAGCCAAAAAUGAGGGAUUAGAUGAGCCUUACGUCAUAUCUGACAUUAAAUUUUCAUGUUUUUAUCAACUUUUGAGUUACACUUACGGGAAAAAAGUCUACUUUGUUGAUCUUCAAGCUGCCUGUGACUUUUACUACGCAGCGGGAAAAUACAUUUGCCACGACGCUUUAAAGUUCGUUUCUGAUUACUUAGCUUCAACAUUAAACCCAUUUUCGUUAUAUGAUUUUGCUUCAUUUCAAAAUAACGAAACUUUGAAGCAAGCAGCUAUUAAGAAAUUUAUUACUCUCGACCAGACGCAAAUUUUUCAAAACGAUGACAUUUUGUACGCUAAGCCGCAAACCAUCAACGAUGUAUUUAAACUGGAGCUGAAAGUAAAAAGCGAAAUGAUUCUUGUACAUGCCCUAGAUCGCUACAUCAAACAUAAUCAGCAUCAUGAUCAAGAAAUUACUUCAAAAGUUCAACCAGCAAUACGGAGCAUUCGUUAUCUUACCUUAAAUUUUAAAGAAAUCCUGGAUGUCCCGUUUUUGUCAGCACAAGACAAAAUUGAUUUACUUCACGGUUUACCACCUAAUCCGAAUUUCAGAAAAUUUCCGCGAAUGUUUUCAUUGUGUUCUAAAAAAAGAGGCACCAAACAGCCAAAAGAGCUAAAAAAAUAUUUUAAAUGAUUUAUUGUAGCUAUAUUUUCAUUUUGAUGAAACGUGUUAAAAAAAUGCUAAAUAUUUUGUAGAUUAUAUUUCUUUCAAAUCAAAUAAAAUAAAAUU
Molecule: long non-coding RNA, 1008 nt
Organism: Culicoides brevitarsis
Lineage: Eukaryota; Metazoa; Arthropoda; Insecta; Diptera; Ceratopogonidae
Exons: 3
Source: RefSeq, a predicted model, not a curated record